CCCGCCACUAUGCCCGUCUGUCCAAGUGACUGAGUAUAAUCCAGAGGAGGCUCAGAUUGACCCGGCUUUAGGAAACAGGGCGGCCCAAAAAACCGGUGGACCGCUCUGUGCCGAAAAGACUGGAACACAA
Oreochromis aureus is the source of this 130-nucleotide small nucleolar RNA. Ensembl annotates it as Small nucleolar RNA SNORA65. Lineage: Eukaryota; Metazoa; Chordata; Actinopteri; Cichliformes; Cichlidae. The record is from Ensembl.